RNAcentral lists this ribosomal RNA (207 nucleotides) under uncultured eukaryote. RNAcentral's name for it is "partial 18S ribosomal RNA". It matches the Rfam family "Eukaryotic small subunit ribosomal RNA", at positions 1299 to 1458 of the family's 1831-position model. The record is from RNAcentral.
UGGUGGAGUGAUUUGUCUGGUUAAUUCCGUUAACGAACGAGACCUCAGCCUGCUAAAUAGUUGCGUGAACCUUCUAUACGGGUGAAUGGUAAGUGUGGUGUGGCAGCUUGCUGUUGCAUCUACUUAUUUGGAUCCUUGAUGAGUUCAUGAAUAUACUUCUUAGAGGGACUAUUAGUAUCUAGCUAAUGGAAGUUUGAGGCAAUAACA